UACCAGCACCCCGAGUGGUCGGGACGUUUAUUGGGCCUAAAGCAUCCGUAGCCGGUUCUACAAGUCUUCCGUUAAAUCCAACUGCUUAAUAGGUGGGCUGCGGAAGAUACUAUAGAGCUAGGAGGCGGGAGAGGCAAGCGGUACUCGAUGGGUAGGGGUAAAAUCCGUUGAUCCAUUGAAGACCACCAGUGGCGAAGGCGGCUUGCCAGAACGCGCUCGACGGUGAGGGAUGAAAGCUGGGGGAGCAAACCGG
RNAcentral lists this ribosomal RNA (253 nucleotides) under uncultured bacterium. RNAcentral describes it as "partial 16S ribosomal RNA". It matches the Rfam family "Archaeal small subunit ribosomal RNA", at positions 474 to 727 of the family's 1478-position model. The record is from RNAcentral.